This 254-nucleotide ribosomal RNA is filed under the name uncultured bacterium. Its description in RNAcentral is "partial 16S ribosomal RNA". It matches the Rfam family "Bacterial small subunit ribosomal RNA", at positions 524 to 777 of the family's 1533-position model. The record is from RNAcentral.
UACGUAGGGUGCAAGCGUUAAUCGGAAUUACUGGGCGUAAAGCGCACGUAGGCGGCUUUGCAAGUUAGAGGUGAAAGCCCGGGGCUCAACUCCGGAAUUGCCUUUAAAACUGCAUCGCUAGAAUUGUGGAGAGGUAAGUGGAAUUCCGAGUGUAGAGGUGAAAUUCGUAGAUAUUCGGAAGAACACCAGUGGCGAAGGCGACUUACUGGACACAUAUUGACGCUGAGGUGCGAAAGCGUGGGGAGCAAACAGGG